RNAcentral lists this unclassified non-coding RNA (324 nucleotides) under plant metagenome. Its description in RNAcentral is "partial contains 5.8S ribosomal RNA, internal transcribed spacer 2, and large subunit ribosomal RNA". The stretch from base 1 to 105 matches the Rfam family "5.8S ribosomal RNA", at positions 50 to 154 of the family's 154-position model. The record is from RNAcentral.
GAAAUGCGAUACGUAAUGUGAAUUGCAGAAUUCAGUGAAUCAUCGAGUCUUUGAACGCACAUUGCGCCCCCUGGUAUUCCGGGGGGCAUGCCUGUCCGAGCGUCAUUGCUGCCCUCAAGCACGGCUUGUGUGUUGGGCCCCCGUCCCCCCCCCAAGGGGAUGGGCCCGAAAGGCAGCGGCGGCACCGUGUCCGGUCCUCGAGCGUAUGGGAAGCAACUUUUUGUCACCCGCUCCUGUAGGUCCGGCCGGCGGCCUGCCCAACCCCAACCUUUUUUUCAACCAGGUUGACCUCGGAUCAGGUAGGGAUACCCGCUGAACUUAAGC